This 245-nucleotide unclassified non-coding RNA is filed under the name Hevea brasiliensis (rubber tree). Lineage: Eukaryota; Viridiplantae; Streptophyta; Magnoliopsida; Malpighiales; Euphorbiaceae. The record is from RNAcentral.
GUCAUGUGAUGCGGUGAUAGCCGCAUAGUCCCCGCGCGGGACCUUAGAAGUGUCAUUCUGUCCGCGCAACCUGUCGCAGUGCAUUCCUUACGCAAAGGUUAAUGCCGGUUCCGAAUCUGGACGACGUAGGAAGAUUCCAUAUCUUUCAGUGACUUGCAAAGGCUGCCGCUAGAUUUUCCACGGCUCGCGGCAGUUCCCGCAUAUGACCGAUGACAAUGUCGGGCUUCAGUUCCGCGAUGGGAAUC